AACAACAGGGAUUACCUUAGUAACGGCGAGUGAAGCGGUAAAAGCUCAAAUUUGAAAUCUUCGGAAUUGUAAUUUGACGGAUAGAAUUGCUAUUAAAAAAAGUUCACUGGAAUGUGACGCCACAGAGGGUGAUAGCCCCGUUAAUUAAAAGCACUAUAAUUCUAUUCCUAAGAGUCGGGUUGUUUGGGAAUGCAGCUCAAAGUGGGUGGUAAAUUCCAUCUAAAGCUAAAUAUUGGCGAGAGACCGAUAGCGAACAAGUACAGUGAUGGAAAGAUGAAAAGAACUUUGAAAAGAGAGUGAAAUAGUACGUGAAAUUGUUGAAAGGGAAGGGAAAGGGGGAGAUAAUUCAAGACAAUACUUCGGUGUUACUUGACCACAUCUUGCUCUUUUCACCCGUCUUGAAACACGGACCA
This 413-nucleotide ribosomal RNA is filed under the name Metschnikowia colocasiae. RNAcentral's name for it is "LSU rRNA". It matches the Rfam family "Eukaryotic large subunit ribosomal RNA", at positions 64 to 668 of the family's 3401-position model. Lineage: Eukaryota; Fungi; Ascomycota; Pichiomycetes; Serinales; Metschnikowiaceae. The record is from RNAcentral.